This 160-nucleotide ribosomal RNA is filed under the name Ligilactobacillus agilis. RNAcentral describes it as "Lactobacillus agilis partial 16S ribosomal RNA". It matches the Rfam family "Bacterial small subunit ribosomal RNA", at positions 1 to 139 of the family's 1533-position model. The record is from RNAcentral. Lineage: Bacteria; Bacillati; Bacillota; Bacilli; Lactobacillales; Lactobacillaceae.
AUUCUAAAAUGAGAGUUUGAUCCUGGCUCAGGACGAACGCUGGCGGCGUGCCUAAUACAUGCAAGUCGAACGCUUUUUUCACUCAUUGUUGCUUUCUACACCGAUUGAACAUUGUGUUGCGAAGGGGUGAGUCACACUUUGGAAAACUUCGCCACAUAGG